AGACACUGAAUCUGUCCCGGAUCUUUCUGGACUCUUCUUUUCUCAGCUGCCCACCACUUCUUCUGCUAAACCUCUUCAGUCCUCAGAACCAUCUUCUUCAUCUCUUCUCUAGACUCGAAAAGAAAGAUCAAAGAUCCUUCCUUCAUUCUUUCAACCCCAGUACUCAAAAACUACUUCUCCCAUUUCUUUGUUCACCCAAUUUUUUUAAUCCCUCGAAAGAAAAAAAAUACUAAAAAAGAAGAAGAAGACAAUGUUCGGAGUAGUGUUCCCAAACCGCAGCUUCCCUAUGGACAUCUCCACGUUCACUCAAAUCGACACCUUCCAUUGGAUCCUCGACAUGAAUACUUUCGUGGGUGAAGCUUACGAUUCAAUUCGAGAAAUCUGCAUAUUCCUUCUCAACAACUUCACACUCCCUCCAGAAAAAGCCCUGGCCGUCUACAUUCAAUCCCCCGGUUCCCCUUUUCUGUACUGCGGCGCGGUGACUAUCACGCGCCCUUCUGCAGUUCUAUCUCUGCCGUGGCCGGAGCCCGGUGGACAGUUACAACUCACAGCGCCGGAUUCAGCUCCAUUAUCUGCGAAAAUUGGGGUUUCGGUGGAGGACCUUUCGUCCCUCCCCUCCCUUGAUGUUGCUGCUGAAAAGAAAAUCGAACGGUUGGCCAUGAAAGUUGGAGAGAAUUUGUUCAAUUUUAUGCAGUCUUUUUGUGGGGUUGAUGGGAGUAAGCUGGUAGUGCCCAUGGAUAUUUUGGACCGGUGGUUUAAGAAGUUUCAGGAGCGGGCGAAGCGGGACCCUGAGUAUUUGAAGGGUUUUGCUUUGUAGUUUUGAGGCCGAGCAUUGACCAUGAUAGAGAGGACAAAAAGAAUGAAGAACUUAUAAGAGAACAAAAGUUUCCUGACUGGCUAGAAGGUUUGGUGCGAGCGUCUUGGCUGGAGCUAACUUGCCAUAGUUAGACGAGAUCAAUGACGAUUAUCCAGGACAUGUCCUCCCAAACUUCUCUCUAGGAAAAAAAAUAAUCCAGGAGGACAUGAAUUGUCGCACGAAAAAAUGUAAUCUAUAACUGCUGCAUUUCCGAAGGCAUUCCCCAGUUAUCUUGUGAGUGUAUGUCAACAAUGUCGGCAGAAUAGUCACUGUCUGGCUUCCCUUUAUCUGUAACAUCGACAUGGGCAACGUCUACUGUUCAAAUGCCCAGAUCGAUAUUAAAUAUUUCUGAUUUGUGCAAUCCUGCCAGAGUUCCAGGUUC
Molecule: RNA transcript, 1238 nt
Organism: Coffea arabica (coffee)
Lineage: Eukaryota; Viridiplantae; Streptophyta; Magnoliopsida; Gentianales; Rubiaceae
Gene name: protein OPI10 homolog
Source: RefSeq, a predicted model, not a curated record